Alligator mississippiensis (American alligator) is the source of this 24790-nucleotide RNA transcript. RefSeq lists it as uncharacterized. The transcript has 4 exons. The record is from RefSeq and is a predicted model, not a curated record. Lineage: Eukaryota; Metazoa; Chordata; Crocodylia; Alligatoridae.
UGACGUCACGGCAAGAGUCUCUCGCCUUCGGUGCACAGCGUUCUCUCUAUAGGAAUCGAAACCGCGGCCCGCACAGCCCGCGGGCACUGCUCCGACAGAGAGCAGACGGCACCGGGGAAUAGACGCCUUUCUACCCGGGCACUGCACGGAGCCAGCGAGGUGGACGCUGGACCAGACACCUAGUGCAGAGACAUCAUAGGAGGGUCUCAAGGCAGUUGAAUGGAAGAUGGUCACCUCCAGAGCCAGACAGCGUGCGGCUGUGACUGCUUCCCCAACACAACCGGGGAACAGAUACGAAGCUGUGGCAGCACUGAAGGAUGAUGUAGCAGAGGAAGCCGCAGGGGAAGACACAUCCAUAACAACCAUGCAGGCUGAGCAACAACCAGGCAGCCAGAAGAAAAGAUGCCGGGUCAUCAUCGUGGGCGACUCCCUCCUGAGAGGCACAGAGGGGCCUAUUUGUCGACUGGAUCCCACAGCACGGGAGGUUUGCUGCCUGCCUGGAGCCAGGAUCCAAGACAUCGCUGUUAGGAUUCCUGACCUCAUCCAGCCCUCCAAUUACUAUCCCAUAGUCCUUGUCCAUGUGGGCACAAAUGAUGUGGCUAGGAGUAGUCCAAACCACAUCAUGAGUGACUACAGGGUUCUGGGGGCUGGGCAUAGGAAGUCAGGGGCACAGGUUGUCUUCUCAUCGAUCCUCCUGGUCAGCGGUCAUCAUCAACACCAAGACGCCUGCAUCAGAGAAGUCAACCUGCAGCUCCGGAGUUGGUGCCAUCAUGCAGGUUUUGUCUUCUACAACCAUGAUCCACGCUUCCAUGAGAGAGGUAUCCUGGGACGAGAUGGUCUUCAUCUUUCUUCUGAAGGUAAGAGUCUGUUCUCUUACAGGUUGGAUGAUCUCUUCUGAAGGACUUUAAACUAGGUUUGUCAGGAGACAGGAAUGCAGUGGACAAAGACAACCUAGGAUCAGAGAGCCACAGGCCAUGCGCUGGAUCACUCAGAUCUAGACAAAUCUCCCAAAAGCAUUACAGACAGAAGCCGGAGGAACACCAGCUCACCUACUGUCAGUGCCAACCUAGUAAAGAGACACUUGGAGGGGCUGGAUAUGUUUCAGUCAGCGAGACCAGAUGAGCUCCAUCCAAGGGUGCUGAAAGAAUUAGCCAGUGUCAUAGCAGAGCCACUGGCACAGCUGUUUGAGCACUCGUGGUGCUCAGGUGAGGUCCCAGAGGACUGGAAAAGGGCCAGUGUGGUCCCUAUUUUCAAGAAGGGGAGGAGGGAGGAACUGGGAAACUACAGACUGGUUAGUCUCUCCUCUAUGUUUGGGAAAACCCUUGAAAAAAUUAUCAAGGAUCACAUUUGUAGGAGUCCAGCAGGUAAUAUAAUGCUAAAGAAUAACCAGCACGGGUUCAGAGCAGGUUAGUCAGGCAGGAUCUACCUUGUUUCUUUCUAUGACCAAGUCACUAAAUGCUUAAAUACAGAAGUCGAGGUAGAUGUCAUCUACUUGGACUUUAAGAAGGCCUUCAACACAGUAUCCUAUCCCAUUCUCAUAAACAAAUUGAACAGUUGUGCCAUAGACGAUUACACGGUCAUGUGGGUGGCAUAUUGGCUUAAGGGUUGUACCCAGAGAGUGGCGGUGGACAGGUCGGUAUCGACCUGGAAAGAUGUGGGCAGUAGGGUCCCCGAAGGCUCAGACCUUUGGCCGACACUGUUCAAUAGCUUCAUCAGCAAUCCGGAUGAGGGUGUGGAAAGCACUCUGACCAGAUUCACAGAUGACACAAAACUAUGGGGUGAAGUAAACACACUGAUGGGAAGAAACCAAAUCCAGGCAGACCUGGACAGAUUAGAGAAGUGGCCAGAGAACAAUAGGAUGCAGUUCAACAAGGACAAGUGCAAGGUGCUGCACCUAGGGAUAGGGAAUCACCAGCACACCUAUAGGCUGGGGGAUGACCUUCUCAGCAGCACAGCAGCAGAAAGAGAUCUCAGAGUCAUUAUCAACUGCUGCCUAUAAAUUCAUCAGAGGAGGGCAGCAGGGAAUAGGAGAUGCUCUGUUUACCAGGACACCACCUGGAAUAACCAGGAACAAUGGCCACAAGCUGAGAGAGAGUAGAUUUAGGUUGGACAUGAGAAAGAUCUUCACAGUUAGAGUAGCCAGGAUCUGGAAUGGGCUUCCAAAGGAGGUGGUGCUCUCCCCUACCUUGGGGGUCUUCAAGAAGAGACUGGUCAAGCACCUAGCUGGGGCCAGAUGACCCCAGCACUUUUUCCUGCCACGGGCAGGGGGUUGGACUUAAUGAUCCAUUGAGGUCUCUUCCAACCCUAGCAUCUAUGAAUCUAUUGUUAACAGGUCAGCUACUAUUGUAUAUAAUUCAUAUAACAAUUCUACCUGUAACUGUGUAUCUCCUACAGGAACAUAAUCUGCAAGACAGUUGAACAUAGGGAUCAUGUAAACAAAAAGGACUCUUAAUGUAUUGUUUAGUUUAGUUUAUUGUGUUAGGGGAAUUGGUUUAAACUCUACCCAGAAAAAGGACUCUUGCCAAUGUAAGCUGUGUCUCCACAAGGGGGAAGAGUUAACACUUAUAAGUGUAGCUCAGACAGCCCCAAAAAGAGCAUUUGUAGAUCACUGGGCAUGUCUACAUAAGAUGCUUAAUAUGCAGUAGACUAAUUCUGUGCAUUAGUGUACAUGGUAAAAACCAUGCUAAUACGCUCAUGCGCAAUAGUAUUAGUCUACUGCACAUUAAGCAUCACACAAAAAGCGUGUGAUCAUGCUAAUGUGCAGUACAGCAGCUUGCUGCUCAUUUAUUUAGUACUUGAUUAUACAAGUACUAAAUUUAAUGCGCAGUAGGCACUGUGAAUUAAUGAACACGUAGACAUGCCCGCUGUGUCCCAUUCAAUGCAGGUAUCAUUGCAAUGAAGGAAGUUUCCUUGUUUCUUAAUCUUCUUAAUCAUAAAGUGUUGUUAAAUACUGUAGACAUGCACAAAUUAUGCAAUUCCAACUUUGUAAAUCACAUGGGUUACAAUAUUUCCAAAUCAGCAUUGUUUACAAAAGCAGUAAGAGGAGCUGGACUUGUUUCUCCCAUAGAUCCUUCCCAGUGGAAACAUUUAAGAGCCUUUGGGCCACUAUUAGAGGUGGCAAACUGCAAGCUGUGUAUGAGUGGCAAUUCUGUCUUGUUCUUUGUGUAAGAAUGAAAGGUAGAUACUUUAUAAAAAACAAAUGCAACCACUUUUUAUCCUGGAUCUAACCAGAGACAGAUGGCAUCAAAGUGAUUAUAUACAGGAAAUGAAAUGACAGGCAAAUGUUGAACAUUAGCACACAAUUUAUAUAUAUAUCAAUGAUUAGAUUAGUCCAGUGAUUCCAAAAGGGUGUGCCAGGGCAUACUAGUGUGCUGUGAGAGCAACAGAAGUAUGCCAUGAGCUCCCCCUGUCUAAGGAGGUAAAUGCUCUCCUCCCCAGUUCAACAGCUGCUCCUCUGGGGACUGUAGCCACUGCUGCUCCCUUCCCUCUCCUUUUCCCACCUUCAGGAAGUCCAUGACCCCACCACCACCAUGAACAUUGUGCUCUGCCGUGAGCAGAUGGACGCACAGAUGGAACUGUGCUUUGCAGCCCAGCUUUUCCCAUCUAUCUCUCCCAUGCGGUGGUGGUUGUGGGUGGUGUGAGAGACCCUGCAGAAGCAGCCUGAGGUACAGAUCAGGGCUCAGGAGGGGGCAGACAACAGAAAGAACAGAGCACAGGCAGGAUGAGGUCCUGUCCCUGUUGCCCUUAAGUGGCACCAGCUAUAUCAGCAACCCCCAAGUCUUUUAGCCACAAGGCUCACCCCCAUAACUUUUCUGAAUUUAGAUCCAUCUCAGUGACUUUCAGUUAGGAUGCCACAAAAUUCAGAAAAAAUUCUGAGGAGUACCUUGAGGCUAAGAAGACUGAGAACACUGGUAUAGAAAGUAAUCCUUUGCUUAAAGAAAGAUGUGUUUGGAAUCAUUUUUUUAACAGUACAUCUCAAUACUGUAUGAUUUGCUCUGGUAGGAGAAUGCAAUGUGUUGUAUGUUUUGGAAAAACAUACACACACACACACACGCACUUUUUUGGGUAUAAGAAUAGACUGUCCUGCCAAUUUUAAAUUUAAAGUGUGCCCCAGGUAUCCAAAGUUUGGGAAACACUGGAUUAGUCAGUUUGACUUUGGUUCCCAUCAGUUUUCUUUCUGGUUCAAAUGAGCUAACAGGAUGGUACAAUACGUGGGUUGCAGACAUUGCAGCCAAGUGCUUAAAUCUGAGUGACAGAAGUGUUCUAAAUUUUAUAAAAUAUAUAUUAAAAAAUGAGUUUCUGUUAAAACCUGCCCCCACUGCAAUGUAAACUGCAGUCCCGUGGAGAGUACCUGGGAAAGGGAAACAGGUUCAAGAGCCAAGAACAAAAUCUUCAGAUGACAUGCUGGUUUCUGUGGAUCCCCUGCAAUUCACAAGGAUUUGAAUGGAUUUGUGUAUGCCCUUGGGAGACAGGUCUGAUGGGGAAAUGAGCCCAGGAAAGCUGUCUGUACUUUAAGGAGGCCCUUUUAAGGUUGCAGGAGCAAGCUAUCCUAAUGUGGCAGAAGAAUGGGAAGUGCAAUAGGAGACCAGCCUGGAUAAAGAAAAGUCUCUUCAAGGAGAUAAAACUCAAAAAGGAAUCCUAUGAAAAGUGGCAACUUAGUCGUAGUACUAGGGAUUAUUGCACAGGCUUGCAAACAGAAAAUAAGGCCAAGGAGCAAUUUGAGAUGCAGCUGGAAAGAAACAUAAAAGGCAGUAAAUAAUGAGUCCAUCAGUAUGCCAAAAGUAAAAGGAAGACCAGAGAUUCCAUAGGUCCCUUAUGGAAUGCAGAGGGGAAGGCAAUCUAGUCACAGGUGAUGCAGAGAAGGCUGAAGUAUUUAAUGCCUUUUUUUACUUUAGUUUUCACUCAAGUGCCACGGACAGCAGAGAUAGGGAAAGAGACAAACAGCCUAGAGAGUAAAAACCAGGUUAGAGAUUACUUAGAAAAGAUGCUUUCAAGUUGGCAGGGCCAUAUGGGAUACAUCUGAGGGUACUAAAUGAAUUGACCCACAUAAUUUCGGACCCACUGGCUAACCUUUUUGAACUUGGGAACUCAUGGAGAACUCCAAGAGCUAGGCAAGGUCCUGGAAGACUGGAAACGGGGAAAUAUAGUACCCAUCUUUAAGAAGGGGAAGAAGAAGGAUCCAAGGGACUAUAGACCAGUCAGCCUGACCUCUAUUCCUGGAAAGAUCAUGGAGCAGGUUCUCAAGGCAUGUGUUGUGAAGCACCUAGAGGAGAACAAGGUGAUUAGGAACAAUCAACUUGAAUUCACCAAGAGCAAGUCAUAUCUGACUAAUUUGAUCUAUGAUAAAGCGACAAACACUGUGGAUGAAGGGAGUGUUAUACCUUCUUUUUAGCAAGACUGUUAAUUUUCCCAUGAUAUCCUCAUUAACAAGUUAAGAAAAUACGGACUAGGUGAAAGUUGGAAGGAAUUACAGACUCUCUGGAGGAUAGGGCUAGGAUCCAGAAUGACCUGGAGAGACUGGAAAUAUGGUCCACAAUUAGCCAGAUGAGAUUCAACAAGGACAAGUGUAAAGUCCUGCGCUUGGCAUGGAAUAACUGCAUGCACCACUACAGACCGAGGAAUGACUGGCUUAGUUGCAGUACUGCAGAGAAGGACAUGGGGGCUACAGUGAACCAUAAGAUGAAUAUAGGCCAACAGCAUGCUCUUGUUGCAAAAAAAAGCCAACAGCAUCCUGGGUACUAUUAACAGGAUUGUAACUUGCAAAUCAAGAUAAAUAAUUCUUCUGUUCUAUUCAGCACUGGCAAGGCCUCACCUGGAGCAAUUUUUCCAGUUUUGAACUCCCACUUCAAGAAAGAUGUGGACAGUUUGGAAAGAGUCCAGUGCAGGGCAACAAAAAUGAUUAGAGGCCUGGGAAGGAAAACUAAUGAGAACAGGCUGAAAAAACUAGGGUUAUUUAACCUGGAGAAGAGAAGACUAAAGGAAGAUGUGAUAGUAGUGUUCAAAUACCUGAAGGGUGAUUAUAGAGAAGAUGGAGAUGAGCUUUUCUAUAUGGCUGUAGGGAACAGGACUAGGAUCAACAGCCUCAAACUGCAGCAGGAGAAAUUUAGGCUGGAGUCGGUGGUCCGCCAUUUUAACAGGCUACCUAGAAAAGCUAUGCAUUCUCCAUGCUUGGAAAUUUUCAAGAGCAGGUUAGACAGACACUUGGGUGGGAUAGUUUAGUCAGGGAUGAUUCUGCCUUGAGCAGAGGGCUAGAAUAGAUGACCUUGUGAGGUCCCUUCCAACCUACUUUCCUACAACCCUAUAAUCUCAUUUAAUAAUGGAAUAGAAGCACCCUGUGCUUCUGUGUCCCCACUGAAUAUUGAAUUUUACUGACUUUUUUUUUUUGCCCAGGCCCAAAUUCUUUAUCACAGGAAGGGACAUUCUACUGAUAUUUCAUAAAAGCUUCAAGCAUAUGUCUCAUGCUUAAUAAGGCAUGUGCAGUGCAUUACACUUUAAAGUAAUGGGUGUACAGGUCUAAGUUGGCUAUAUGUAGUGUGUGAUGUACAAUUAUGUCCACACCUUUCAGGAAAGGCAUAUUUAUUCUGCUUUAUUGCUGUUGUUCAAAAAACCAGCCUAAAUAAAGGCAAUUACAUUUUGAAUUACAGAGGGUGUGAACUAUUCUCAGACAAGGAAUUUUGAGACUAUUACACCAUCCACACACUCUUGCACUCAGUGAUUCUAAACUACUUUUAAUAAUACCCUUUUUAGAGGCUAUUUGAUUAUAUAAUAAGCUACAAACAGUGGGUUUGGCAUGAAUAAAAAUGUUAGUGUGUGCAGUUCUCACCUUCUUUCAUGUGUAUAAAAAUGCAGCUGAAACAUUGGCCUGAUUUUUGCAAAAAGUCUAAUUAGUUUGCAACCUUAGAAGUUAAUUCAACCAUGUAAUUCAAAAAAAGAUAUGAGGUUAAGGGUCUCUCACGAUUUUCCGCUCUUUGAUACUACUAAAUGAUUAUUUAUGAACUACAUGUACUACUAAGAGUGUUUACCUUGAAACAAACAUCUUGGCUUCAUGAAACUAACGAAGGCAUCUUAAGAGCCACUAUGAUUCUUGUAGGGUAUGAACAGAAGGAAUUGGAAAUUGUACUGCAAGAAUUGAACCAAACUAGGCCUACUGUAAAAGUUAUUCUUUUCUCUAGGAUUCCUACUUUUUAAGGCUUUGGGAAGUUUCCCAUUGGGUUCUGAUCUUAUUCAGUGGCAUCUUAGGUAUUUAGAUGUCCUACAUUAUCAUGAAAACUUUACAACACCUCUGUAAGGUAGGGAAAUAGUCAUCUCCAUAUUUGCAGAUAGAGAAGUGACAUGCAGGGCCUCACUGUGUCCAGAGAACAGAGGACUGAGCAUGUCCACACACCUGCCAGAACAUUCCAGAACCAGAAUUUUCCUCCCAGCACUUGGUCUCAAACCCUCAGUCCCUUGUUGGUCUCAGAGCAGGCACUGGAAACCAACCCACAGCGCCUCACUGGCAAUUUUUCAGCUCUGGAGUGUGUCAGUGAACAUGGGUCGGUCGGUGGGGCACAGUCAAUUCCUUACUCCCAGGGAUGGCUGAUGUGGUAUAGGUGAGCCCACAAAGACACUAAGGUAGAAAUCGACAAUGAUUGUUCUGUAAACUUGAGUCCACAAAAAAUUGUGUUCUCUGUGUGUAUCUUAUUUAGUUAAUUUAUGUGGCAUGGGCAACUGAUGCCACCUUACUCAGGGGAGGCAUGUGCCCCACCAGCAACCAGUCAGUGAGCGGGGGAGGUCCUCCCCAUGGCCAAUCUCACUCACCAGCUUCCUGAAGUGACCAUGGCACUUCUGGAAGAGGCCAUGGCGCUCCCACUGUCCAGCUGGCACUCGCAGGAGUGGGGAGGGGGGCUUCUACCAGCCCCCUUGCCUGUUGCCUAUGCAGGGAGCGCAGCCUGUCAGGGAGUGCACCGGCACUCUCAGGGAUUGCAUGUGCACCCCCUACAUGUCACCACUGUAUAAAGGUGCAUAUCUACCAUGCUUUUUUAGGUUCCCUGUCCCCCUGUGGAAUUUGCAGCCUUGAGUUAGACACACAGGGUACCUAUACACGUACACUGAGGCUGCUCCAAUGUGUGUAAUUACAGCAUGGCAGCACUGACUCGAUUCUAGACCAUAGUAAUUACUGCACUCCAGCAGGCUCCAGUGCGAGAUGUAUCAGCAGCCCUGCGCUGAAAAAUGGUGGCAGGGGUGCUUUAACUAAAGCUUGUUCAAUGAGCUUUAGUUAAAGUCCCAUCGCUGCCAUUUUUCAGUGUGGGGACGCUGAUACAUGUGAUGCUUCAGGUGCUCAAUUAAAGCACCUUUAAUUAGAGCAGCUCUCUGAGCCACUCCAGUUAAAGAACCCCUCCCUCGCCCCCUGCCCAACCCCCGCCUCCCUGACCAUCUGUAUACAUACCCUCAGUUUUCCCACAAAAGCAAGGGAAAAGAUGCACAGAAGCUAGCAAGCUGAGCAGGAAGACACCUAAACCAGUCAGCAAGAAAUGCCAAGAUGACAGGCAAGGCCCAAGUUGAUGCCUCAGAUGUAGUUAGGUAGCAAACUCAAUGCUGCAGGGAGAGUCCUAUCUUUGCUCACAAUUCUCAGCUAUGAACUCUUCCCUGGAGUUAACUGUUUAUGCCAAAUCAGCCCUUUCACAAGAGUUCCCAUUAUUUCCAGUAACCUAAUGCUUCCAAAUCACUGUUACUUUCAGUUGACACUUCAGCCUAAUUUGGAACAGGGAUCUAAACCUGGGUAUACUGAAUCCCUUACUACUAGAAACUGGGGUAUAAAAGCAUUGGAUUAGAAGAGACCUCAAGGAUCAUUUAGUUUAAUCUGCACAGAGGAUGGAUUCCUUCAUCUCAUACUAAUCACACCUCUUUUUGAAAACCUCUAACAAACAAGAUCCCACAACUUUCCCUGGCCGCUUGUUCUACUGUCCUGUUGCUCUCACAGUUAGGAUGUUUUUUCAGGAUUUGAUCUAGACCUUUAUAAUAUAGUGAUUCUUUUUCAAUCCCACCUGUUUAAACUAUUCCAUUUUGUAUGGAUAGUGUAAUUGUAGUCAGGAUUGGAACCUGACUUUACCAUCACCCAGGUGAAUGUCCUCCCACUGACAAACUCCUUCUCAUGGCUUUGCCAACUUGCUGUCUUCUGUGCUCUGGAAUGCCUAUCAGAUCAGACUUCACAGAAGAUAUAGGUGGGACCACGCCUGACUUAAGAAUGGUGCUGGCGCUUAGACGUGAGCUAGUACUCUGAGCAGCUUGGUGACAUUCAGACUUAGACAUCUAUGUUUUGUUUUGUUUUUAAUAUUUAUAGCAUCUAUUCCAGGAGUGGUAGUCAAGACAAGGUUUCAGGAAAAGGGAUUUUCAAUAUGAUGGUAUUUGAGACCCAUCAUCUGUUGCUACAUGACUGUGAUUAAUUCUAAUUGAUAUUCCAUAACAAGACCGGCUAUUGUUUACUAUGGAGUAUCAACAGUAUUGGAUUUACUGUUCAAGCUAUUUGGCUUCCACACAGAAAGAAGUGUAAGGAAGGCAAAAUACCUAGCCCUUAAAGAGACAUUUUUGUACACUAUAUUAUUUAGACACUAAUACUUUGUGUAGCAGAGAGAGUUCUAGACAGGUCUCUGGAAAACAAAGGAAAUUAAUCUGGAAUUCAAGCUUUGUGGAAGCCUGUUACUAUGUAAUUAUAGUUGUUUUCUCUAAUAAACACUCAUCCUUUUAAGUGGACUGCAAUUCUGUCUGUCAUUACAGUCCCUCUUUGUAAAGUCUAAUUUUCGGCCAACUUGAUACUUUCUACUCAGCACUGCUGGGAAAGAGUUGGUGCCUGCUACAGUAACGAUAAGCUUCCCUGAGCACCUUGAGAAAAGUAGACUAGAUUUUUUUUCUUAAAAUAUCAAGCCUAAAUAGUGACCCCACUAAAGCUGAUAGAAAUCUCCCAUUGAUUUAAAUAAGGCCAGGAGUUCACCCAGUGUCUCAAAUGAACAGGAAAAUCAGCCUUCUGAAAAGACCUUUGCAAAAUAUAAGGCUGUACCUAAGCAGACUUUAUUUUCCAUUUAAUUCCAGCUUGAUACUGCAAAGAUCAAAAAGUUCCAAGAAGCUUUCAGGCCUUUAAUCAGAAUGAGACUAUUGAAAAACGUGACCUUUUAUUUCAAAGCCACUACCCUGCAGUGGCUGUUGACUACCACUGUGAAUACAGACCUCACAUCAGAGUAGUAGCCAUCACUGAACAUUACAGAACACAUUGCUACAGGCACGUAGGGAAUCUAUUACAAUGCAUUGUCUUGCCCAACAGGAAAAACUACUGUCGCUGCAGGUUUUGAGGUAUCUCAGGAAUGGCUCUGUACUUUUCAGUAAUGGCUACUAAACUCAGAGUCAAUGUAGAUCAAGUCACACUUUGCUGAAUAUUGGUGUAGCAUCACAAUAAUAACAAUAACAACAAUAAUAAAAAUAAGCAGUCAAAACAAUGUGCAUUAGUACAUUUGGGCAUAGAUUCCAACAACUGCCCAAAGUCAAAAUGCAAUCCUAAUCACAAGAAUGUUUCAAAAAUGUUUUUACAUUUAUCUGCAAAUAAUCUUAACCAUAGAAAAUGGUAGCCUGCAAAAUCCAAUUAACAUGCUGAUUCAUGUUAUGAGUGCACUACUCAGGUCACUACAGGAAACUGCAGUGUCUUAUGAAGACAAAAUUAUCUAAUUUACUGUGCAAAUAAUGUUGUUUCCAAGGCCUGCAUUUUAGAAGUAUUUUUACCCCAUUUAUCAGCACAGCUCUUCUGAUGUAAGGUCAGCCUGCUGAGUAACAAAACAAGCUGGCACUGCAAAAGAGAAAGGGGGAGGUUCACCAGCUCCCGAGGAUUCAAUAGUAUCAAUGGAUAAAAUGCAGGAAUCUUUCUUGUAUAAGAGGCAAGAGUGUGUAAGAAUCUUUGGGUGAGCUUGGUGUAAGUUCAUGGAUCAUGUACAUUUUAUAUCUGCUAAGGAAGGAAGGGAAUUUUGACAGAAUUAAAUGCUGAAGAAAUCCAAAAUUGAAAUUUCAUCAGCAUUUGUUUAGAUUUUUCCCCUUUCUAAUCAGCAGUAUGUCAAGAUCUCUAUUUAGAAAGUGUCUAGGAUACUGUGCUACCUACCACAAUCUAAGCAAAAAAAUUAUAACUUUGUAUACAAGUCUGGGAAAAAUGUAAGUGCAGUAAGAUCUUCACUGUCUAUUAAUUAGGCUUCCUCAUACUCACAUUAGCAGAGUUUUCAAGUCAAUACCAAUCUUCUAUUAAGUAUGGUUCAUAGUGUGAAUAUAAUCAAAACCUUGGCUUUUCUCUGAAAGAAUCAGGGUUUUAGUCAUUAAAGAGUCCAUUAGAGCAAUUAUGUCAUAGUUGCAUUAAAACUGCAGCUUUGCUUAUGAAGCUUUUUGAGCAGAUAAUGGUUCUCCCUGCCUUAGCUCAUCCAAAAGCUUUAUCUCAGUCAGAAAGAAAUAAACCUCCUAUAGAGAAACACCCACAAAACAGUCCCAUUUAGCACUUCCCAUUUUGCAGAUCACUGUAAAGUAAUUGACUAAUGACUUCUGUACCUCAGCAGUGUGAUGAGGAUUGCGUACUGUCACCACUUCGCAAAGGCAACUGCAGAGACAGUAUUUGUAACUUCCCCAAGAUCACAUGGUAAAUCUACGUCAAAACCACAACAGCAGCUCAGGAUUUCCUCACAAUUGAUUUCAUGGUUAUAUCCCCACAAGAGUCCUUGAAUUAGUAAUUUUGGGAGUCUCUAAAACCAGAGAACAUUUAAAGGUGAUUCCAAGAUAAAAAUGAACAUAGAGUUGGAUAGAUAAGUUGUGAGCUGGUAGAGUCUACACUAACCAAAUUUUAAUGAAGCAAGAGUUCAGAACAAAAUUAUCUAUUAAUAGACUUAGAAACACAGAGAAUCAUAGAGAACUAGGGCUGAAAGGGAUCUUGACAGAUCACCUGCCUGAGGCAGGAUCAUCCAUAUCCAAACCAUCCUGUGCAAAACUACACAGUCAACCAGACACAACACAAGACAUAACACCCUAAUAUGCCACAGGUAAAGCAGCAGUACCAUAGCAAGAGGGAAUUUGGUACCCAAAGUCCAAAGUCUAUUCCACUGCCUCACUGUGCUUUGGUACCCAAAUUCUCCCUUGCUGUUGUAUCACUGCUUUACCUGUAUAUGGUACCCAAAGUCCUGCUACAUCAAAGCUUGUUAAAAUCUGCUUAAGAGAUCCCAGGAAGAGCCACACCCCCUGCAACAGAGGAAGGCAAAAACCCCUGUAGUCCAUACAAAUCUGACCAUGGGGUAAAAUUCCUUCCUGACCCCAAAUGUGGCGACUGGUCUGACCUUGAGCAGAGGGGCAAGACCCUCUAGUCAGGAAAUUCUGGGUUUCAGUCCCAGUAGGAGCAUUGGCACACCCCAGUCAAAAUCCCCAGCCUUGGCUGCAGACAAUACUUAAGGCCUCUGAGGAAGGCUUUAAAAACCCACUGAUAUGUAACAGCAGAGGGUGGGGGAGGGGAGAAAAUUCUCCCCUGACCCCAUGCAGGAACCAGCAAGGACCAGAAGCAUGGGAAAUACCUAGUAGAACAUAUGCAUAGAUAUUCCUAGAUCAUCUCUGGCCAAAGGCCUGUCCAUCCUUCUCUUGAACACCUCUAGUGAUAGAGAUUUCACAACAUCCCUAGCAGUCUGUUCCACUGCCUCUCUAUGCUAACACUGAAGAAGAUAUCCAAUCUAAACUUACUUUGUUGCAACUUCAAGUCAUUGGGACACAUCCUACUCUCCAAGAGAAAAAAGGUAGUUUCCCUCUUCUUUAUGGCAUCCUUUCAAUUUCAUAGAAUCAUAGAAAAUUAGAGUUAGAAGGGGCUGCAGGAGGUCAUCUAGUUCAACCCCCGCUCAAAGCAGGACCAUCCCAAAUUAUAUAAUCCAAGCCAAGGCUUUGUCUAGCCUGGUCUUAAAAACCUCUAAGGAUGGAGAUUCCACAACCUCUCUGGGUAACCUGUUCCAGUGUUUUACUACACUCCUAAUGAGAAAGUUCUUCCUAAUAUCUAACCUAAGUUUUGAAGACUGCUACCAUGACCCCUCUUAAGUGCCAUUUCUGCAAGCUGAACAUGUCUAUUUCCUUCAGCCUCUCCUCAUAUGACUUGCCCAUUGUCAUUUUCAUCUCCUGCUUCUAGACUCUCUCCAUGUCCUUUUUAAAAUAUGGAGCCCAAAACUCCACUCAAUACUUUUGAUGAAGCUGAACCAAGUGUCAAGUAAAAUGGCACUAUCACCUCCUAUGUCUUGCACCCAGUGCUUCUAUUAAUGCAUCCCAAAACUGCAUUCACCUUUUGUGCAGCUACAUCACAGUGCCGACUCAGAUGAAGUCUGUAAUCCACAAAGGCUCCCAGAUCCUUGUCCCUAAUGCUGCCAUCCAGCCAGAUAUCACCCAUUUUGUAUCUGUGUUUUUGAUUAUUCUUCCUGAGGUAUAGCACCUUGCAUUUGUCAGUACUGAACUUCAUCCUGUUUAUCCUCCAACUCAACCUUCCAAUCAGUUGAGAUCCUUCUGAAAUGUGCUUCCAUCCCACAAUGUGUUCACAGUCUUUCCCAGUUUCCUGUUAUCAGCCCCUGAGAGUGCUGGUGCACCCCCUGACAGGCAGCACUCCCCACUUAGGUGACAGGUGGGGUGGGGCAGACGGGAGCACCAGUGCCCCCCCUGCAAGCGCCAGCUGGGGAGUGGGGGUGCCAGGUGAAGUGCCACUGGCACUUCCGGGAGUGCUGCUUGUGCUCCCUGGUGUGAUCGGCCACGGGGGGAUGCCCCCAGUCACUAACUGGCCGCUGCGGGGGGUGGGGAGGGGGCAUGUGCCCCCCUGACUCAGAGGCACCAGUCACCCAUGCCUGUUAUCUUUCUAUGCCAGCACCCAAAUUGUUAAUAAACAUGUUGAACAAAACUGGGCCCAGUCUAGAGCAGCAUUUCUCAACCCAUGGGUCACAACCCAAAAGUGGGUUGCAAGAAUACAUGAAAGGGUUGCGAACCAACUUUAAAAGUAGAUCAACAAACUUUAAAAAUAGAUUUUCCUUUAAAGAAGAAAAAUGUGGGAAACUGUAGCUUUUGCAGGCAGAGUUCCAGCCUGAAAGGAGCUGCGUGGGGCCACCCAUGCCCCAUACACACACAUCCCUGCCCCACACACUGGGGGGCUAGGGCCUGGGGGCAGAUAGCAGUAAGCCAGGGGUGAGCGGCAUUGGGUUGGGACUGGCCACUGAUGUUCAUAAAUGGAUCUUGGUACAAGAAAAGUUGAGAACCACUGGUCUAGAGCAGUGGUGGCCAGCCUUUUUGGCAGGCAUGCUGCAAGGCAAGCCCUGCUCCCUCCCUGAGUUUCAGUCUGAUCACUCUCUUCCCCCUGAUCUACCAUGUGCCAGACACAGGCUGCCUGAAUCAUGGGUUGAUCCCCCUGCUUCAUUCUGGUUUUUUUAUAUUAUUUAUAAACCAUUGGUGACCAAUGGAAAGUAUUAAUGCAGGAACUCUUGAUAAUUCUAGAGGGAAGACAUUAAAAUGCCCACUAAGGCCACUGAGUUCUAAAAAAAAUAGCUGCUGCUUAAUGACAAACUUUUUUCAUAACUUGUACUUUGCCUUACAGGAUAUCUGCAACAAGGGAAUAAUGCAGUUAAUAUACCUUUAGAGUGUAAAUAGCCAACACCAGAUAUGCGUGCUCUGAAAUAUUGUAAGUCAGGGGUUUUCAACCUUUUUUAAAGAGUAUACCCCUUCUGGUGGCGGCGGCCAGAUGUGGAGCAGUGGAGGCUUGCGUGCAGCAGUGGUGGCAUGGAAUGGUGGAUGGUGGUGGUGGUCACAUGCGAGCUCUCCCCCCCCCACCCCAAGUGUGUCUGGACAGGUGGCUGCUGUGCAGCCCGCACAGGGGAGCCACUGCCCUCUCCUCCCCUGCCCUCCCCUGGCCCUGCUCCUGGGAGGCAGUGGUGCAGGGUAGUGGGUAGCAGCACUCUGUCCCUGCCCGCACGCACGCACUAGCACCUUUCCAAGUACCCCCCAGGGGUACACAUACCCCCAGUUGACAACCCAUGUUGUAAGUGACAAGGCUUUGUAGAAUUCAAGAUUCUUAAGUUUCUUGGGCCUGCAGAGUUUCAAAAAGUGGAAAAACUACCUAUAGGCGGAGAACGCCAACAAAUAAGCCCCUCUUCUCAGGAUUCUCCAAUAAACAUGUUGAGCAAGAAACAACCAUCCCCAACAACUCUUUCCUCACUGCAUAUCUCCUCCUUUUGAGCGGGUACAGAGGGAGCUCAAAUUUCUAUGGAAAGACCUUGGCAAAGGCCAUGACAAGUGUUGAGAAGCAGCAGCUGUAUGACAAUUAAGGAACAGCAGGGGAAGUUGAUGCAGACAGAAACUUCCCAUCUACCCAAGAGAUGUGUGCAAAGUAAGUGGCAACAAGUCCUGGGAAACUAUAGCAAUACAGGGUGUGACUGUUGGACCUUGCAAUCAGGAACAGGUCUAUAAUGGAUUUGUAGGGAAACUGGACAGGAAGCCAGAACACUCACUGAUCCUGACUGGACAGUGGCAAGCUCCUAUUUGGUUUUAAUAAAAGACUGAAGAAAAGGCAUGCAAAAUCCUAGGUCUUUAUGCCACUGUACCUAGGGUAUAUGAAAUCUUUAACUUUUUGCCUGCCUUAGUUUUAAAACAAACAAAAAAACCUUUCACUUGAGUUAUGUGAUUGCAUGGUUAUAGAAUCUGCCUGCUGAAACUCCUGCAGCAUUUGCUUCCAAAUUACAUACACUCCAAAAAGAAUGGGACCCAGCCCUGCAUUAGCAAGUCAAGUGAUCUCCAGUUCCUAGAAUCUGAUUGUCAAACAUCAUUUAGCAAUUAAACCUUGCAGGUCAGAACUUUCACUUGGGAGUGGAACAAAGCAGCAACACCCCAGCAAGGAUGCUGUGAGCAUUAAGUAUUGGGUAGAGGAAAAAAACAGCUCCUAAAACUUCCAGACUAACAGGGUAUGUAUGCAUCCCAUCAGGAGCAGAUGCAGGGGCAGCCCAGUGGCUGAGUCGGUACUCCACCCUCGUCCCACGAGCCACUGGGGACCUCAGCUGGCAGCUCCUCCUUGGAGCUAUCGCCACGGGUGUGUAUGAGAUGAGCUUUAUGGACAUUCUGGUCUCCGGCCGCUUCUGCAGGCAGAGGGAGACCCUGGCGCACAUGACCCUCAAAUGCACCAGGCUGCUGCCCCUCCACCUCCAGAACCUUCUCUUGAGGUUCUGAUUGAAUUUCACCCCCCACCUUUUUGUUUUGGGUCACCCCAUCUGCAGCCCCACCAAGUCCUGGGACCUCCUGGUCAACCUCCUCCUGGCUCUGGCCAAGUGGGCCCUGUACUUGACCAGGAAGGAGGCUCUGGCCAGGAAGGUGCCCAGAGAGUGAGGGGCUGCUUUCCUCUCGCUUGUCCACGCACAUUUCUGGGCAGAGCACUAGUAGGCAUUAUCCACCAGCAUCUUGGAUGCCUUUGAGGACCGGUGGGUGCAGCCCAGGGGGCUGUGCUCAGUGUCCCCCUCAGGAGCACUUAUUUUCAUGUUUUGACCAUUUGACUUACACGACAUUCCUAUCCUGUUUUUCCCCCCCCCCAUUAGUUGUCCCAAGUAGUUUGUUGCAGCAUUCACCCAUUAGCCCCCAUACAAUAGGAGCUGCUUGUUAGCCAGGUGGGCCUUAUAGCCCACGGUAUUUGAAUGUUACAAAUAGGAGCAGAUCCAGGUGUGGUACAGCUGCAGCACCCUUUGAUUCUUCCUUCACCCAAACUUUGAAAACCAACUAUCCAGGAGGAACAAGGGCAUUCCUGAAUAGACUUCAUGGCUCAUUAUAAUCUACCUGAUUCCUACUAAUCUCUCUUCAUUCCACAGAUGUUAAUGACCCUUUCUCCUUUUUAAGGGUUUGGAUGUUCCCUUAAUCAAGCUAUCCUUUUUUCCUGAAAUUUUUGCCAUUUGUUAGCCAUUCCUGAUAAUCUUUCUUUACAUUUCACAUCCCUGCAGAUAAUAUUAAGUCAAGUGAAUAUUAACUCAGGUGUGGAAAUGAUUUACAAUGAAGUGUUGGAUGCACUGUCAAGAUGCUCCAAAUGGCUAGAUUUUUGUUUUACGAAUAUGAAGAGAUGCACAUUUAACUAUAAAGAACAGAGGACUAAUACAAUAUUUUUAAAUUAUUUUUGGCCUAAUUUUUUGCAUUUUAAAACUUUAUAUAUAACCAAGCACACGAGUGUGUAUUCCUAUACAGUUAUAUUUAUUAUUGCUUCAGUUUUAAAUUGAAUGGUGUAGUACUGGACCCUAUCAUAUUAGUAAAGCUUUCAGUUUCUCUUUAACUGGAGAAAAAUGUGUGUUAUAUGUGAUGAGGCAUCACAUCAUCUGCACCCAUUUUCAAAAUCCUAGAUCUCUCCAUGCAUGCGAUAGCAAAGUAUUUGAAAAGUUAGGCAUGUAAGAGCUGUGGUUCCCCCUUAGCCAGUCAUUGCCCUACUUUUCUCUACUUUGAAGGGAAAUGUCAGAAAUCAGUCUCUGAAUUUCAGAGAGCAGUCUGUGCACCACAAAAAAAAGGGAAAUGAGCAAUGGUAUUUGAAACCUCCUCAUCCCUGCAUCAGAACAGGGAGCAGGAAUAUAUGCCCCUGCAAUAAGAACAGUGUAACAGGGAACCCUAGCCCUGUUACUAAGAGACAGGGUGGUCCCUUUAAAUACAGAACCUUCCAGUCAUGGCUGGCCGGUCAAGUAGGGCUUAAGGCCCCCAAGGGCUGCAGUUGCUCACAGCCUGCGUGGACCUGCCUGUGCCUGCUCAGGACAGCCCUGGGUGGGCUGCGAGCAGCUAUAGCAGGGAGCGACAGCCAAGGGGCAGGCAAAGGUCCAAUUUUCCCCAGGCUCCUUCCCUGCCUGGGAUCCUCCCCCACCAUCCCCAAUAUGGUCCCUCCUGGGGCUUCCAGGUGGGGGGUGGGGCUGGGCAGGCCCUGCUGUUUCAGGAGCCCGCGGGGCUUCCCCUGGGUCCUACUGUCCCUGGUUCCUGUCAUUUUUUACAGGAACCAAAGACAGAUAAAUAUUAAUUUUCUAAAAUUUUUAGGGGCCCCGCGGGUCAGAUAGAAUGGCCUCAUGGGCCGGAUCCAGCCCACAGGCUGUAUUUUGCCCUCCCCUGAUCUGGACUAUAAGACUCCUUGGGGGCCAGGUCUGGACACAACAGCAGUAGGGUGAGUGGCAACAGCAUGGGAAAUGGCAGAGCAGCACAGCUGUCACUAAUCUCCCUGCUGCUGAAUUCUUUCCCCAGCAGGGCCCCUAUCCCCAAUUCCCAGCUGCUCUAGGAGCUCCGCUGGCCAGAGGAAAUGCUUCCAUGGGCCAGAUCUGGCCCACGGGCUAUAUAUUUGAUGCCUCUGGGCUAGGAACACACUCUUGAGGCACCACCAGCUGCCUCCGAAAACCUCAAAAUUCAUUUGCCUCAGGGGGAAGCAUAUUUCCUGUCUAGGAGUCACCAGUUCCACCACAGUCUGUUCCUGCAUUUCUCAAUAAGAGCAGCCUCAGAGCUGGGACUGUCACCAGCUCUCAACUGUUCUAAUGACCAGUCUCCAGUUCUGCUUGAAACUCAAUCAUUAGGUGAAAAAGUAUCCCUACCACUGGCUCUAUGCCGCUACUAACCUGAAUCUGAUUCACAAAACCUUGCAACAAUGUCUCAGUUUCCCUACUGUUGAAUGGAGUCAGCUCCAGAAAGGGUAUUUUCACAAGAUGGAAGCAGUAGCUUCGUGUCUUCCAGCUCUUUUACCUGUGCCUCUUUCAGUGCGAAGUAGAACUCUCUGGCAUUAGCCUCUUGUAAGGGCUAAGGCAUCGUGGGUGUCACCAAGCCAAGAGUGCAUAUCACCAACAGAUCUGUGAGUAUCUCUAGUUAUGUACCUUUACUCCCCCCAAAACUAUGCCACUUCAGGGAUAUUGGUGUAGUGUGAGUUUACAUUGAAUAAGAUAUGGAAAAAGUCCAGCACAGAACAACAAAAAUUAUUUGAGGCCUGGGAAGCAUGACUUAUGAUUAUAGUCUUCAAAUACCUGAAGGGAGGUUAUAAAGAGGAUGGAGAUAGACUUUCCUCUGUGGCUAUAGGGAACAAGACUUGGAGCAAUGACCCCAAACUGCUGCAGACGAACUUUCUGACCUUGAGGUUAUCAAACAUUGGAACAGUCUACUUGGAAUUCCCAUCCUGGAAAUGUUAAGAGUGUGUUAGAAAGACACUUCAGGGCUGAUCCUGCCUUGAGCAGAGGGCUGAACUAGAUGAUCUCAUGAGGAAAGAAUCCCACCCCUUAUAUCCUAUGAUCUUGUGAGCCUACUAUCCUAAAUAAUCCCUUGUUAGAAAUUGUGCGCAGAGAAAGGGGUUUCCUUUGGCAAUACGGGAAGCACAGCCUGUACCUUCAGGGGCCCACAACUUCCCCCAUAGUAACUAAGCAUGAUAGACAAGCUUAACGGCAGACCUGUGCCUUAUUUGGUCGUACCCUGCAGAUUGAAGAAAAGUCAUGCAAUACUAGUAAUUUUCCACUAAAGCUUUGCGCAUGUGAAAUAUCAUGUAACCAGAGAAUAUAAAUACGUGUGUGAGAGUGCAGCCGGGGCCCCUCUGCCUCUCUAAGGAAGGGGGACCUUCGGCCGAAUAAACUGAAAAGACCACACCCUCAUCUCCUGCUUAUUUGAGUCUCAUCUGGGAAACGAGCCCCAUUGGGGUCAGGAGUAUUCGCAGGUGUUCCCUUUCCAGGUUGGGAGGUUAAGCGAAUAAUUUCUCCGAGAAAUUUGGCGAGCCAGCCAGGAGCACCCAGCUCAUCAUGUCGCCACUGCUGCCUGAACCCAACCCCCAGCUGGCCAUAACAGAGGAGUCUCUCCAGUGUUACACAGGUCAGCUGCUUUAGCUCAGCCAGUACCUUUAAAUUGUAAUCUUCACCCCUAUCAACCAGGAAGUUAAUUUUGAGUAAAACAACAUCAGCGAAAAAACGCCUUGGCUCCAGUCUGGAAAAGUCCAUAUCAAGUUCUCCUUACUACGCACAUUGCUGUAAAAAUUGCCGAGGAAAAAAAGCUGGAUUCAUCACAGUCACCUCAAACCUGGCACCGAACCCAGUUCUGAAAACAAGACAUUAGCAAGUCACGACCAACCAACCUCUGUUCCACCCCUGUGGCUAAAAAGAAUCGGAAAAUUGUGGACUGUCCAGACUCCUUAACAAGAAUGGAAGAACAUUUAAUAUCUGUGUUUUUAGGAUUGCUUUGUAUUACCUUUCUUGUCAUAUUUUGUGUUUAUAUUUCACUGUAAAAGCAGGGGAAAUUAUAAGUUAAUAAUGGCAUUUCAGUAGGUUAUCCUGACAGGAUUAUUGCUCGGGGCACAUAGGACAAACGCCUGUUUGUGGGAAAGUGAUACAGAACAGGAAGGUCAGUGGAAAGAUAAUAGUUACCUGAUUUCCACUAUAGCCAUAGCGCAGGCCCUAAAUUUAUCUGAUUGCUGGAUAUGUGGCAAACAGCCCCCCUCCACUAACUUUCCACCCUAUCUUUUAAUCCCCUGGAAAAGAAACUUCUCUAGUCCAGAAUGAGCUGAUACAGAUAGAAUUAGAGUGAGUACCUGGCAAAGUAACCCUUACUUUAAAGAAAUAGUGCUCUCAGAUGCCAUGUUGUCGGCCCAAGUGUGUUGGGAAAAUCCUUGUAGAAGAGAAAAGAGAUUUUUAGAAUGGCAGCCAGGUUGUAAACUAACCAUUAACACCACACACCUAAUAUGGCCAAACAAUACUGCGGUAGAAGCCAAAGAAACUAAAAGAAAAGGAUACCUCCCCUGGAAUGUCUCUGCCCCCUGCAGCUCCUUACAGCUUCCUUAUGUAUGGCAGUUUAUAAAAGAUUCUAUAGGAUGCUUCACUUCUAAUAAAACUUGGAGCUUAUUACCAAUAGCACAGCAGAGAGCAUUAAAUUAUUGCAAGGACAGGCUUCUGCCAACCGUGCUAUAACUUUAGAAAAUCGCCUAGCAUUAGACUAUUUGUUAGCUAGAGAAAGAGGGGUAUAUGCUUUAAUCACAGGAGGACCCUACUGCACCUAUAUUCCUGACCACACUGACAAUAUAACGGCCAUAGUAAAAACAAUUCGAGACACAGCACGACGGGUAAACUCUUUGGAAAGUUGGUCAAUAAUAGAAUACAAUCGCCUCAGGUCUAAAAAUGUGGGGAAAGUAUAUCUUAAAAUACAUUUUGUAAAAAUUUAGAAUUUUCUUAGUUAUUAUUUUAGUAAUUGCUGUAAUUAAAGCAUAUGUAGUUCGCAUUAUGCAAAAAAAAGUAAUUAAUCUCAAUGCCAUGCAAACCUGGGAAAUGGCCAGCAGGCCAUAGGCCUUUGGCCAUAAGGGGGGAUUGUUAGAAAUUGUGCGCAGAGAAAGGGGUUUCCUUUGGCAAUACGGGAAGCACAGCCUGUACCUUCAGGGGCCCACAACUUCCCCCAUAGUAACUAAGCAUGAUAGACAAGCUUAACGGCAGACCUGUGCCUUAUUUGGUCGUACCCUGCAGAUUGAACAAAAGUCAUGCAAUACUAGUAAUUUUCCGCUAAAGCUUUGCGCAUGCGAAAUAUCAUGUAACCAGAGAAUAUAAAUACGUGUGUGAGAGUGCAACCGGGGCCCCUCUGCCUUUCUAAGGUCGGGGGACCUUCAGCCGAAUAAACUGAAAAGACCACACCCCCGUCUCCCGCUUAUUUGAGUCUCAGCUGGGAAACAAGCCCCAUUGGGAUCAGGAGUAUUUGCAGGUGUUCCCUUUCCAGGUUGGGAGCUUAAGCGAAUAAUUUCUCCAACAACCUGUAGGAUUAGAUAGUCAUUACAUAUGAUUUUAUCUGAGUCUAUUAUAUCAGGGUGUACUAGUGUCCGUUCCCUCUGCACCCAUGUCCCACAGAUUUUGGGACUUUUUCUGUACAUCACUAAUACAGUUGGUCCUGUGUUAGGCCUGAGGACACAAUGCGCUACAGCAGGCUGGAUUCAGUAACAUAAACACUGUAUACCCCAGAUGAACUUGUGCUGUGUCAACCUCCCUAUGAAGAAAACCCAAAGGCUUGAGGUCAGGCAGCCUACCUGGGUAAGAGGACACUAAAACUCCGGUGAUUUUGUUUUUACUCCCCCAGCUCUGAGUCCUGGUCAUUCCGCCUAACUGUAUCUUGUUUCCACACAAGAAUAGAACCUCAGACCUCUGGGACUCCUCAGAGUUGGACUUUUUAGAGUGGCAGCUUUCUGUUGUUUAGGCUUACCAAUUUCCACUUCUAAGGAUACCCUGGUUGACUGCUAUUUUGCAAAUGUUGGGCAUUUCAUAGGCCAGAUCUGGUGCAUCUGCCCAUCAACUCACAGUGUGCAUUCACUUAGGUUUUUUCCAAUCAUUUUAGGGUCAUGUGAAUGCAACCAAUGUAAUUCUAAUCACUGGGAUAAUAUGAAACAUCUAUAGUAGUGAUCCUAAAGCUUUCUCCCAUUUGGAGAGGUCCUCUCCUAUAUGAAUAUUCCCUUAUAACAUUUUUGCUACUCCCCAGAUUUUUUCUUGUAAGCUCCAAGUAUCAAUUCAAAAGUACAGAAUAGAGCUUUUUUGUUUUUUUUUAACUCUUCUGAGUCAUCAGACCUAUCCAUUUGGCUCUGUCUCUAUUGCUUUGGCCCCAGAAAAUACAACAGACAACAGAGCUGUUCCACACUGGGCACCACACCACUACAAAGAGUAGGUUAGAAAAACAAUAGUCAGGAAUGGUUUGGAUAGCAGUGUUCCUUCCAGAAGCAAGAGUCUGGACAAAGUGACUUGAGGUCCCUUCCAGCCCUACUUUUCUAUGAAAGACAGUUGACUAGGCAUCUAUGUUUACCCUGUGUCUAAACUGAAGCAAUUAUUUAGUGCCUUUUUGGUUAGAAUUCCUUGGUCUCACCUUUCUUAUUAGACUGUAGUCUCUCUUCCUCCUCAUUCUCCCAACUUCCAGAUCCUGUUGCACUGUCUCUAUCCCAGUCAGGAAGCUACUCUUCUCCUGCUGCAGCCUUGUUUUCUCAAACAGCAGAUUUGCUGCCUCAAGCUGCAACUGUUGCCAUUUCAGGGCAGGUUUCAGGGAAUCCAACCUGGAUGAUGCUUCCUAAUACUCUCAUAGUCCUUAUACCCUUCUCCCAACAUGGUUGUACUUCUUCAUUUAGUCCUGAUUCUCCACAGACUGCCUGUAGUAAAUCAGAUUUUCCCUGGAUCCUUGUACAGAUCUGGUUAGUGGUUCCUUACUUGGAUUCUCAACACAGCAAGCCAACCAGCUGAAUCUUGUUUAGUUUUCCAGGUCUAUUUCCAUUUUUCAGGGAGCCAUUUAGAACUACACCCCUGUGUCAACAUCCUGCCUCUAUUGCCAGCUGUCAGAGCAACCUGCAUUUCAGAUCCCAUGGCAGUCCCUGUUGACUUGUACUACUUGGGCACAGGCAUGGCUUUGCAAUGAAUAGUUUCCCCAUUGUUUUUUUUUGAAAGAUCUUGGGUAUUUUCCCUGGCAAGAUCUUUAUUACUGUUUGUUUCCUGCUCCACCAGAAGCUUAAUUUGAUUUUACUACAUGAAGCCAAAGAUCAUAUCAUCAAGUUGAGGUACACUUGAUUGCCAUAAAAAUAAUAGAGAUAUUUCCUACUUUCUCCACAAAGUAUAAGGAUAUUUUUACUCCAAAGUUGUUAACUGAAAAAAAUCUGGCCUUUUAUUAUUUGAUUCUUACUUUUAUUCCUCCAAAAUCAGGAAGGUGGAAAUUCUAUUAACUUUAAACUACCGUAGGAUUCCUACAUAAGGACAAAAGUAAAAAUAGUCUUGUAAUUCUGGCAAAGCCUGUUCCUACCUCCACACCUCCAUAACUGUGAAACUCCUUUUGCCCAGUUUUGUUGUUCAAAAAAAAAAUAUUCAGAGCCCAGUAGCUGUGCAUCUAAAGGUGGGGACACAAGCAGAAAGAAGGGGCUUGAGCAGGGGCUGGGUCAGACAAUCGGAUGCCAGGCAGAUUCUGCCAUCCUCCAGUCUUGUUUCAGGUGUCCUGAUAAGGGACCCCACAGUCUUACCCACCCAAAAAGCUUAUAUAUGCUUUAUGGUCUGAUGUCUUCCUCACCACUGCUAAGGUGCUGAGCAAAUGGUAUGCCUCUCUGAUGUUACCCUUAUAAAAAUACUAUAAGAUACUAUACUAUCUUAUAAUCGUAACAAGUUUAUUGUAGGGCUGGCCACCCAGUCAAUUGACUGGUCAAAUAUUAUCGAUUGACUGGUCAAUUGACUGUAUAUUUUUGAAUGGUCAAAGAUUAUAGCAAUUUUACAAAAAAAAACCCUACUUUUUUUGUAUGUUACAGGGGCAUAGGUUGUAGCUGUGUUGAUCUAAGGACAUAGGCAGUACAUUUUUUGUAGUUUUCUUGACAAAAAUAUGAUUUUUUUACUGUUUUCGACACGCUUCUGAAUGGAAAAUUUGUGGGUUUUUUCUCUGUAUUAUUUGGACCUAUUGGCAAUUAAAAAAAAAAAUUGAAUGAUAUUUGAACUUUAUUUGACUGAUCAGCCCUAUAGUACUAUAAUACUAUUGCAAGCUGUUAUUUUCUUCUGUGGUUUGCAAUAAAAAUCUUGAAAACUAUCAUCUCAGACUAUCACAAAAGAAUGUUAUUAAUAUAUACAAAUACUAAUAAAUCUGAAUGUACAUAUAUGCUUGCUAUAUCUAGAUAUGAUAGUAUACAGAUAUAUAUAUAUACACAUUAGUUUUUAUCUUUUUAAUGAGUGUGUUUAUAAAGUACUAGGCAUAGCCAUUUGGAGAAUUCAAGAUUUACUGCAAACUGUAGUGCUACAUUAAUGAUUCAAUAGCAGUGCAAGGAUUAAAAUGCUCAAAUUAUAUUUAUGAAAUCAAA